This is a long non-coding RNA of Vidua chalybeata, 4127 nucleotides long. RefSeq lists it as uncharacterized. The transcript is spliced from 8 exons. NCBI's taxonomy places the organism in Eukaryota, Metazoa, Chordata, Aves, Passeriformes, Viduidae. The record is from RefSeq and is a predicted model, not a curated record.
UAAUUUCAUCUGCUGACAUUUCCUUUCAUCGAGGCUCUUGAGCCACUUUCCAUGCCAGUUCUAUUUUAGGAUGAAUGGAGCCUGAUCACCCUGCUAAGCAAAGUAUCCUGCAGAUGGCACAUUCAUUCUUCGUUCUUGUGGAUGGCAUGUUCUCACAUUCUGUAGUUUCUGUUUCCUGUGUUCCCUCUACUUGUGUUCUUCAAAUGUACUUCCUGAAAGUUUAGAAAGAAAAAUUCAUUGCAGUACCCCUCCUGAGUGCUACCUCCCCUGAUGCUGUAGAAAGAUACAAGGUCUUUCCUGUCUGUAAAAAACAGUGCUCUCCUGCCUGUGUUUUAAAUUGGGAAGAGGACAGCUGCCUAAAGAUGACAUCAUUCCUAAGUCCUCCAAGGAAAGUGGUAUGGAGAUUCAUCAAAGAGCUGGCAGUAACUGCUGAAUUCUCUGCUGUCCUACACAGAGAUUAAAAGCCCAUUAUUUCCUGGGAUUGUUUGUACACAGCUAAGUCGGAUGUGCAGUUGCCCUGUUAUGACUAAAUACAAAUGAAGGAACAGUAAAUUCACAAAAAUAUACCCACAGCUGUGCCACAUUCAGUCUUGCUCCCAUUUAAAGCAUGGAAGGGCAAAUUCUGUUCCUGGAUAUGCAGGUGUCCAGAUCCAGCUGAACUGUAGGUACAAGAACUGAGCAUCCCUGCAAUUAAGACAUCUGAGGCAGAGGACGUACACAAGACCACAAUUAACGUGUGACUGCAUGAGAUGACCACACGAUUUUCAGCCUUGCUGUUCACAUUCACAGGAUGUCCUUGGCAUGCAGUCAGCUCUUUUAAGGAUACUUCCUCCUUUCUUUGCUCUAUGCCAUAAACACUCUGAUCCGUCACCCUGCUUUUCACAAAGGAGCCUUCUCAUUGCUGCCCUUCAACAUUGCCAUUGGCCUUUCUCUGACUGUGUGCUACUGGUCAUGGCAUUGAAGAGGCGUGAAGAAGGGAGCAGGAGGCUCCAAGAAAGGAGCUGACCCUACUGCCCAGAAGGAAAGCAGUAUUGUUCUGCCCUGGUGCUAGCCAUUCUUGGCCUGCUUUGCCGGUAUCCCCUGUCCUUCCCAAUGAGGUGACUACAAGGAAUUUAGCUACAUGGAACAGGUGCCAUACAUCUGCUGGGAUUUCCUCCAAUUUAGUCAAAGAACAAGGGCAUUGCCUGUGAAGCAGGUGGACUGGCAGUGUGGAGAGUGCUGUAAGGAUCACUCAGCUCUUCAAAAUGCCUGUGGGGAGAGCAUGGAUUGCCACUGUUGAUACAAAUACAGGGAAGACCUUGACCUUGGUGGAUACUGCUCUUGCAAGGGGAGAUGCUCUGCAUUACAGAGAGAAUGAACUUUAAGCCUUCAGCCUUCCCAUUUGCUUUUCUGGGGAUAAAUUCAGACAGAGAAAAUGAAUGGAUAUGUUCCCAUUCCUGUGGAAAAUUUUGGAGGUACCUCACAUAAUUUAUAAUUGAUUUUCCACUAAACUGUUGAAGAAUCAUUUUUACUUCUGUUGCUAAAGUGCAGCACCAGCAAAAAAACCUAGAGAACAUCUUGGCAAUUCUUCAGAAAUUACCUCUACCUCAAAAACCGGAAAGUAUGAUAAUUUUUUAUUUGUUUUUAGGGCUUCUUGGGAGUUUUUUUGCAUUUGAAAAAGAAAAUAUUGUAAACGUGUGGAAUACAUUAGUUCCAUAAUGUAUUCCUCCUAUUCAGUAGGGUCAUAGUGCUGUAGUAUAUUUUAGCUGACCAUUUCAAAUGACACUUUAAGGUAAAUUUUAUAGUUUUUAGAUUUGAAAUUGAAUAAUUCCUUUUUAGAGUGCUUGGUUCUAAUCUGUGACUUAAAAGCCAUACUUGAGCAAGUGUCAAACCUGCACUUGGUUUGUUCUUUCCUAGAUUUCCAAGAUUCUGGAUAUUAGGAGUUUUAAAUAAUAAUUUCAUCAGUUUUAUUACCAUAUAAUGAGUCUCUCAGCCUUGAGUUGCUGCUGAAUUUUCUGCAGCAACAAAAAUGCUUAAUUAUCUGAAGAGCAAUUUAAAGAACUCAGAAAUUUCAUUUAGUGUGUGAGAACUUUGCCCAGAACUUGAGUGCAAUACAAAGAGCCAUUAGAACCAACCUUAAUUGAGAAGUUCACUAGAAAUCAAGGAGAAAUUUAUCCCUUCACCUGAAAUACAGUUUUAUCUGCACUGUUUUGGUGUCUUCUGUUUGAUACAGACAGAAGUGACAUGCACAUUUUUACCACUCAUUAUUGAAGUCAUGCUGCAGAGGAUGAAGUCUUCAGCUAAAGGUGAAGGUUCUUUCGGAUUAAAUACACAUUUUAUUGCUGAUGUCAGGGAGAUUAGCAUUUUGUCCUUAGUUUCCAUAAAAAUCAACCUGGAAUCAUUCCCUAUUUUCAUGGUUUAACCCCAGCUAGCAGCCAAGCCCCACCUACACCCUUGCUCACCCUCCCACCAGUGGAAUCAGGGAGAGAAUUGGGUGAAAGCUGGAAAACCCAUGGGUGGAGAUACAGACAGUUUAACAGGGAAAGCAAAAGCUGUGCACACAAGUAAAGAAUUAAGUCAUCUUUUCCAUGGGCAGGCAGGAGUUGAACCAUCUCCAGGAGAGCAGGGUCCCAUCACACGUGAUGGUGACUUGGGAGGACAAACACCACCACUCCAAACAUCCCCCCUUCCUCCCUCUUCCCUCCACUUUAUACACUGAGCAUGAUGUCAUACGGUCUGGAAUAUUCCUUUGGUCAGUUUGGGUCACCUGCUCUGGCUCUGUCUGCUCCCAGCCUCCUGUGCACCCCCCAGUUCCUCACCAGCCUCAUGAAAAGGAGCAAAGGCUUUGGCUCUGCGUAAACCCUGCUCAGCAAUAACAAAAACAUCUCUACACUAUCAAGCCAGUGUUCAGCACAAAUCCCAAAUACCAACCACUGUGAAGAAAAAUAACUCUACCCCAUUCAAAACCAGCACACCAAUGCACUGCACUGACUUUUCAACCCUGUCUCUGUAGCAUCUUUUGCAAAAUUACUUACACAGUAGACUGUAGAGACAACUAAAUGAAAGGAUUUCACUCGUUCUCUCAAGCAACAGACAUUAAGCUACCUUCUAUUUCCUAGAGCCCUUGAGAAUAUAUUUUAGUUUAGCUGUGAUAUUAGUUCUGGUUGUAUCACUGAUACAAAAAAGAGUGUGUAAGAUUAGUUUCAUUGCCAGUAUCCUUAUCUGUACAUUUCACUUGACACUGGUGAGAUUUACAGAGACUCUUUGAAAAAUAUUUCUGCCAGUAUUUUCUUUUGCUACAGAACCAUUAUAUACCUUGAAAAAUACUGCUUAGGACACAGGUGCAUUCUUUUGUUUCCAAUUUCCUAACAGCUAAUGUUAGAUCAUGUAUAUUAUGUUUCCAAGACCUAGUUUUAAUCAAGCUUAUUUUCAAAAGUCCCCAUUUUUAUCUGUAUCUGGAUACACAGCCAAGACUGGAUAUUAUCAAGUUUUUGACUUGAAAACCUUCAAGUAAAUGCUAGAAUAUUAACUGAAAAUUCUGAACUGAAAUACCAUUUACCUGACAAUAUCAUUACCACAUGAGUUUCAAGCCAGUCUUGACUACUUUCUACAUGUGUUUUAGGCCUUCAAAUUAUAGCCAGUUCUGUACUUCAAAGAGUGUAUUCAAGGAGAAUAUUUCAAAGACUCCUGUCUUUGAAUUGAUUAUUCAGUGACUGAUGCUAGAAAUAAAAAUUAAACAAGAAAUCCUACUUGAUGUUUGACAUAGAAUUUAGGGGGUUUUCCCUUGCAAUGUAUGUCUCUUUUUUUUUGGGUUAUUUUGUGAUGAUUGAUAAUUUCUUAAUCUCUAAAUACCCAUAUAUAUAUAAUGCAGAUCAAAUGCGUUUCACCUUAUUUAAGGUAUAUCUUAAAGACACUAAAGGGAAAGUAUGACAUCUGACUUCAGAUUAGCAAUCUAUUACUGUAUUGUUUCAGGUUUCAAGAUAAUUACCAUGCACUCUCUGGAAUUUGAACUAGUAACUCAAAGCUUAUUUGCUUAGAUAUUUUUGCUGUGGUGGACUUCUGCUGUGAAGCUUUUAAUGCUGGUAUUUAUAAGUGUGAUGUGACUUUAUUUCCUGAAAUGACAUUAGAAGUAUUUUUGAUUUAUGUGA